RNAcentral lists this transfer RNA (69 nucleotides) under Sardinops sagax (South American pilchard). Its description in RNAcentral is "tRNA-Asp". It matches the Rfam family "tRNA". Rfam says of the family: Transfer RNA (tRNA) molecules are approximately 80 nucleotides in length. Their secondary structure includes four short double-helical elements and three loops (D, anti-codon, and T loops). Further hydrogen bonds mediate the characteristic L-shaped molecular structure. tRNAs have two regions of fundamental functional importance: the anti-codon, which is responsible for specific mRNA codon recognition, and the 3' end, to which the tRNAs corresponding amino acid is attached (by aminoacyl-tRNA synthetases). tRNAs cope with the degeneracy of the genetic code in two manners: having more than one tRNA (with a specific anti-codon) for a particular amino acid; and 'wobble' base-pairing, i.e. permitting non-standard base-pairing at the 3rd anti-codon position. Lineage: Eukaryota; Metazoa; Chordata; Actinopteri; Clupeiformes; Clupeidae. RNAcentral also lists the same sequence under 1 other name. The record is from RNAcentral.
AAGACACUAGUAAAAUGAUUACCUUGCCUUGUCGAGGCAAAAUUGUGGGUUAAACCCCCGCGUGUCUUA